GACGAACGCUGGCGGCGUGCUUAACACAUGCAAGUCGAACGGAAAGGCCCUGCUUUUGUGGGGUGCUCGAGUGGCGAACGGGUGAGUAACACGUGAGUAACCUGCCCUUGACUUUGGGAUAACUUCAGGAAACUGGGGCUAAUACCGGAUAGGAGCUCCUGCUGCAUGGUGGGGGUUGGAGAGUUUCGGCGGUUGGGGCUGGACUCGCGGCUUAUCAGCUUGUUGGUGGGGUAGUGGCUUACCAAGGCUUUGACGGGUAGCCGGCCUGAGAGGGUGACCGGCCACAUUGGGACUGAGAUACGGCCCAGACUCCUACGGGAGGCAGCAGUGGGGAAUAUUGCACAAUGAGCGGAAGCCUGAUGCAGCAACGCCGCGUGCGGGAUGACGGCCUUCGGGUUGUAAACCGCUUUCGCCUGUGACGAAGCGUGAGUGACGGUAAUGGGUAAAGAAGCACCGGCUAACUACGUG
Molecule: ribosomal RNA, 468 nt
Filed under: uncultured bacterium
Lineage: Bacteria
Description: partial 16S ribosomal RNA
Rfam family: Bacterial small subunit ribosomal RNA
Source: RNAcentral